CCUANGGGUGGCAGCAGUAGGGAAUAUUGGUUAAUGGGCGCAAGCCUGACCCAGCAACGCCGCGUGAGUGAUGAAGGCCUUCGGGUUGUAAAACUCUUUUUAUGGGGAUGAGGAAGGACAGUACUCAUAGAAUAAGUCUCGGCUAACUACGUGCCAGCAGCCGCGGUAACACGUAGGAGACAAGCGUUAUCCGGAUUUACUGGGUGUAAAGCGCGUGCAGGCGGUUUUGUAAGUUGGAUGUGAAAGCUCCUGGCUUAACUGGGAGAGGUCGUUCAAGACUGCAAGACUAGAGUAUGUCAGAGGAGAGUGGAAUUCCGAGUGUAGCGGUAAAAUGCAUAGAUAUUCGGAAGAACACCAGUGGCGAAGGCGGCUCUCUGGGGCAUAACUGACGCUCAGACGCGAAAGCUAGGGUAGCAAACGGGAUUAGAUACCCUANUANUC
RNAcentral lists this ribosomal RNA (441 nucleotides) under uncultured bacterium. RNAcentral describes it as "bacterial SSU rRNA". It matches the Rfam family "Bacterial small subunit ribosomal RNA", at positions 338 to 795 of the family's 1533-position model. The record is from RNAcentral.